Molecule: ribosomal RNA, 450 nt
Filed under: uncultured bacterium
Lineage: Bacteria
Description: bacterial SSU rRNA
Rfam family: Bacterial small subunit ribosomal RNA
Source: RNAcentral
GUGGGGAAUAUUGGACAAUGGGCGCAAGCCUGAUCCAGCAAUGCCGCGUGUGUGAAGAAGGCCUUCGGGUUGUAAAGCACUUUUAUCAGGAGCGAAAUACUACCGGUUAAUAACCGGUGGGGCUGACGGUACCUGAGGAAUAAGCACCGGCUAACUUCGUGCCAGCAGCCGCGGUAAUACGAAGGGUGCAAGCGUUAAUCGGAAUUACUGGGCGUAAAGGGUGCGUAGGCGGUUCGUUAAGUCUGUCGUGAAAUCCCCGGGCUCAACCUGGGAAUGGCGAUGGAAACUGGCGAGCUAGAGUGUGUCAGAGGAUGGUGGAAUUCCCGGUGUAGCGGUGAAAUGCGUAGAGAUCGGGAGGAACAUCAGUGGCGAAGGCGGCCAUCUGGGACAACACUGACGCUGAAGCACGAAAGCGUGGGGAGCAAACAGGAUUAGAAACCCCAGUAGUCC